GAUGAACGCUGGCGGCGUGCCUAAUACAUGCAAGUCGAGCGAACGGACGAGAAGCUUGCUUCUCUGAUGUUAGCGGCGGACGGGUGAGUAACACGUGGAUAACCUACCUAUAAGACUGGGAUAACUUCGGGAAACCGGAGCUAAUACCGGAUAAUAUUUUGAACCGCAUGGUUCAAAAGUGAAAGACGGUCUUGCUGUCACUUAUAGAUGGAUCCGCGCUGCAUUAGCUAGUUGGUAAGGUAACGGCUUACCAAGGCAACGAUGCAUAGCCGACCUGAGAGGGUGAUCGGCCACACUGGAACUGAGACACGGUCCAGACUCCUACGGGAGGCAGCAGUAGGGAAUCUUCCGCAAAGGGCGAAAGCCUGACGAAGCAACGCCGCGUGAGUGAUGAUGGUCUUCGGAUCGUAAAACUCUGUUAUUAGGGAAGAACAUAUGUGUAAGUAACUGUGCACAUCUUGACGGUACCUAAUCAGAAAGCCACGGCUAACUACGUG
RNAcentral lists this ribosomal RNA (497 nucleotides) under uncultured bacterium. RNAcentral describes it as "partial 16S ribosomal RNA". It matches the Rfam family "Bacterial small subunit ribosomal RNA", at positions 28 to 507 of the family's 1533-position model. The record is from RNAcentral.